Molecule: long non-coding RNA, 878 nt
Filed under: Marmota monax (woodchuck)
Lineage: Eukaryota; Metazoa; Chordata; Mammalia; Rodentia; Sciuridae
Source: RNAcentral
GGGCUGAGUAGUUUAGGCUGCCCAAGGUUGUUGGGCCCACAGUCAAGGGUAGCAUCAGAGCUGCCCCUGAACCUGGAGCUCCCACGUGUCCAAGCUGAUGACAGCUGACAAAGCUGGGGGCUCCGGGCUUCAUCCCACCAGGAACCCCAGAGCUUGGUGGGACGGUGGCUCCAGGGGUGAGAGGCUGCUUCCCCUGUGGAAUGUUUCCUCACAUCCUUCAAACUGGAGAGCUGGAGCUGGCUGCAGGUGAGGGCCUGUGAGUACAGUAGGGCUUUGGCCCUGGUGAGAGCACCGGAAGCUCCUACCCAAGGUGGAGGGAGGCCCCAGAUGUGGGGGCUGUAAAGGCAUAGUGGGUUCAAGAGGGUGACCCUAAAGGGGGCCACUGGCUGUACAGCCAAGCUUGCCAAUGUGCUGAAAGAGGGCCUGGGAGGAAGGGCCAAAGCAGCAAUUGGCAGGCUGGGGGAGAGCGGUCCUGUAAGAUUGGAGAUGGUAGGGUCUGAGAUGAGACAGCAGAGCCCACCAACACUGGGAUGUGGGCCACCACAGUUGUGCUGCUGAGGGGGAGGAGGUCUGGCUGAGGCCCACUGAUGCCAGAGGCAUGGCCCCUCCCAGUGGAGAGGGGACCCCCCCAUGGGCUUGUGGGGCCAUGGCACAGCUGUUCCCAAUGGCCUGGGUCUCACCCAUCAGAAGAUGGUUGAUGCGCUGCAGAGCUUUCUUCUCCCGGUCUAGGUCCUCAGCAGUCACUGAACAGGCCAAUUCCAGAGGUGGUGGCAGCUUCAGAGGUUCCCCUCGGAAACUUGCAUUUCCGUGGCCUACCAGUGUCUCCCGUGGGUGAGGACUUCUUCCUGGGAAAUGGCUGUCCCGCCCUGCCUUCUGCC